RNAcentral lists this ribosomal RNA (253 nucleotides) under uncultured bacterium. Its description in RNAcentral is "partial 16S ribosomal RNA". It matches the Rfam family "Bacterial small subunit ribosomal RNA", at positions 524 to 776 of the family's 1533-position model. The record is from RNAcentral.
UACAGAGGUCUCAAGCGUUGUUCGGAUUCAUUGGGCGUAAAGGGUGCGUAGGUGGCGCGCUAAGUCAGGUGUGAAAUUUCGGAGCUUAACUCCGAAACUGCAUUUGAUACUGGCGUGCUUGAGGACUGGAGAGGAGACUGGAAUUCACGGUGUAGCAGUGAAAUGCGUAGAGAUCGUGAGGAAGACCAGUGGCGAAGGCGGGUCUCUGGACAGUUCCUGACACUGAGGCACGAAGGCCAGGGGAGCGAACGGG